CGCGAUGCAAAGCUUUCGAUUCUUACGAAUUCCUUUAUUUCCCCCCAAUGCUCUAUUCUUCCUCUCUCAAACUCCUCAUCUUCUUCCUGUGAAACCCGUUUCCAGAAUUCCCACCAAGAAUUUCAGUUCCCAAAUGGGGUCAUCGCCAUCUUCUUCCUCGUCUAAGCUCUUGUUCCGCCAAUUGUUCGAGAAGGAAUCUUCUACUUAUACUUACCUUCUUGCUGAUAUUUCCCACCCUGAUAAACCAGCGCUUUUGAUUGACCCGGUUGACAAGACUGUAGAUAGGGAUCUAAAUCUUAUAGGAGAAUUGGGACUGAAG
This 319-nucleotide unclassified non-coding RNA is filed under the name Hevea brasiliensis (rubber tree). The record is from RNAcentral. Lineage: Eukaryota; Viridiplantae; Streptophyta; Magnoliopsida; Malpighiales; Euphorbiaceae.